AGAACGAACGCUGGCGGCAUGCCUAAUACAUGCAAGUCGAACGAACUCUUCGGAGUUAGUGGCGCACGGGUGCGUAACGCGUGGGAAUCUGCCCUUGGGUUCGGAAUAACAGUUGGAAACGACUGCUAAUACCGGAUGAUGACGAAAGUCCAAAGAUUUAUCGCCCAGGGAUGAGCCCGCGUAGGAUUAGCUAGUUGGUGAGGUAAAGGCUCACCAAGGCGACGAUCCUUAGCUGGUCUGAGAGGAUGAUCAGCCACACUGGGACUGAGACACGGCCCAGACUCCUACGGGAGGCAGCAGUAGGGAAUAUUGGACAAUGGGCGAAAGCCUGAUCCAGCAAUGCGCGUGAGUGAUGAGGCCUUAGGGUUGUAAAGCUCUUUACCCGAGAUGAUAAUGACAGUAUCGGGAGAAUAAGCCCGGCUAACUCCGUGCCAGCAGCCGAC
Molecule: ribosomal RNA, 443 nt
Filed under: uncultured soil bacterium
Lineage: Bacteria
Description: bacterial SSU rRNA
Rfam family: Bacterial small subunit ribosomal RNA
Source: RNAcentral